GCUCUUACGAUCUGGCCUGGAUUAGGGCAAUGCUGGUGAGGACAGAAAGAGAAAAAAAAUGUGAGAAAUAUUAUGAAGGAAGAAUGAAGCAGAUGCAGGAACUAACUGGAUAUGAAAGGUAAUUGUGACGGCACGAAGAAGGGUCCUGAGGAGGUACGCCUGACUAACAGGGAUUAUAACACGGCUCUCGGAAAAAGGAAGAAGUUGCAAGAAACAUUUUGAGACAGAUUUUGUGUCCAAUGCAAGUGAAAAUACCCAGUACACUAUUGCAGGUAGAUGCCUGGUGUUUCCAUUUUAUAUGGGAUGCAUUCAUGUCCUAUUUGAUGGCAUGUUUCUGUAUCUAUUUCUCCUGCCUACGAGGGUCUUCUCAGCUCCCAUCCCUUUGAAUCCUCAGCACCCAGCACUG
This is a non-coding RNA of Vicugna pacos (alpaca), 406 nucleotides long. NCBI's taxonomy places the organism in Eukaryota, Metazoa, Chordata, Mammalia, Artiodactyla, Camelidae. The record is from RefSeq and is a predicted model, not a curated record.